This 85-nucleotide transfer RNA is filed under the name Planctomyces sp. SH-PL14. RNAcentral's name for it is "tRNA-Leu". It matches the Rfam family "tRNA". Rfam says of the family: Transfer RNA (tRNA) molecules are approximately 80 nucleotides in length. Lineage: Bacteria; Pseudomonadati; Planctomycetota; Planctomycetia; Planctomycetales; Planctomycetaceae. The record is from RNAcentral.
GCCCACGUGGCGGAAUUGGCAGACGCGCUAGGUUGAGGGCCUAGUGAGGUAACACUCGUACAGGUUCAAGUCCUGUCGUGGGCAC